AUAGAAAUGAAUGACUAAAAUUUGGAACCUCACAGCACAAGCACAUUGACAUAGGCACAUAGACAGCCAUUUCGAGCUUUAUAUUCUCAACUCCACCCACCUUGCAUAAUGCUUAUAUAGUCAGAUGUUUAAAUUAAAUGUACAUAAAGUCUUACUUGAUGAUUUGUUAUUGUUCUCAUGUUGAAGAUGAACUUCUUCCACUGUCUGCAGCUGCUACGACAUUGCCUCCUCUAUUCAACUGCUAUACACUGUCGGAAAUCAUUGACUCAUUAGGACUGAAAGACCCCUGUAAAAAAAAACUGGGUGGGCUUGCUGGAUUUCUUCCUUGUUGGAGAUUUACAUGUCUACGGAAUGGUACGAGCCAGGUUGCUGUCUGGAGUGACCUCUUCAUGGAAGUGUGGCUAUUGUUGAAGCUCUUGUACGACGAUUGCAUAAGUUUGGUGGACAACUUUCUCUAGGCAUAAACAAGGACUUUCAAAUUGACCAUAUAGUCGGAAAUGACUGGGAAAAAGGAGUUGAUGCUGAUCAAAAUGUAGUUCUAAUAUCUGUACCAAGUGUACAUAGUCCUGGUCUUGUG
Humulus lupulus (European hop) is the source of this 577-nucleotide long non-coding RNA. RefSeq lists it as uncharacterized. The record is from RefSeq and is a predicted model, not a curated record. The transcript has 3 exons. Lineage: Eukaryota; Viridiplantae; Streptophyta; Magnoliopsida; Rosales; Cannabaceae.